Molecule: long non-coding RNA, 333 nt
Filed under: Panax ginseng (ginseng)
Lineage: Eukaryota; Viridiplantae; Streptophyta; Magnoliopsida; Apiales; Araliaceae
Description: long non-coding RNA (PGIN_LNC014775)
Source: RNAcentral
UUUUAUACUAAAAUAGUUAACAAGUGAACUCAAGAAAAAAAUAUAUUCAUAAAUAAGAAGUAUUAUUUUUAGAACACCGAAAUAUAUUAAUUUGAAAUUUUGAAUAGUCGCCGGCUACCAACAUGAGCCAUUCCAUUUGGAUUAGGUCCUGCAUGUGAUUUGAGUUGAAGCAACCACAUUAUUUCUGGUAAAUUUUGUGCAAACCCAGCACACAAGUAUCGUCUAAGGUGCAAUGCAAAGACAUUACAAGACAUCAAAACCAGUAAACGUAUGAAAUACAACUUCAGCAGAAAUAAACAUAAAGCUUUCUUGCGAACAACUUCCCAUCUCAUU